UUCACCAGUUCAGCGCUGGUUAGUUGCGCGAAUAAGUGAAUUGCCAGUUUUAGUUGGUGUUUGAUAUUCAUUCUGUGCGGUUAAAUUGUUAUUGUCCAGAGAUAAGACCCAACUCAUCGCUAACAGAAAUUACAUUAAAUUAUUGAAGUAAAAAGAGAACAGCACAACCACACUCACACGCGCAUAAAGACUAAUUACCAAACACACCUUUUUGCCCAUAAGGAAAAUAAAAGGAAAACGAAGACGAUAGGCAAAGUGGAAUUGUAGAAAAACAAUGAGGAUUAUGAACGCACAAUUUGCAGUUCAAACGGCUUUCUCGCCGUACAAUCAUCGCCAAUAGACUCCAGUUAGAGGUUGAGUCAACAAAUACGCCAAACGAAUUGCAGCAGAGGCAAGAAUAAUAAACCGAGUAAUAAGAACUAAUUGCUAUCGACUAAAGUCCCUAGCACAAGCGACACGCAAACAGCUUACAACAGCAGCAACUACAACCAGACACUUGAUUUCAAAAAUAUGUUUACCAAUUUACCAGCAGAAAUGCCAGAACAGAAUCGCACUUUGGAGGAACAAUGCGAGCAGCUGGUAGAGGCGUAUAAGAAACAGCAACGGCUCAGUAGUAAUAGCAACUAU
Anastrepha obliqua is the source of this 627-nucleotide long non-coding RNA. RefSeq lists it as uncharacterized. NCBI's taxonomy places the organism in Eukaryota, Metazoa, Arthropoda, Insecta, Diptera, Tephritidae. The transcript has 3 exons. The record is from RefSeq and is a predicted model, not a curated record.